UACAGAGGGUGCAAGCGUUAAUCGGAAUUACUGGGCGUAAAGCGUGCGUAGACGGUUAUGUAAGUCAGAUGUGAAAGCCCGGGGCUCAACCUUGGAAUUGCAUUUGAGACUGCAUAGCUAGGGUGCGGAAGAGGGAAGCGGAAUUUCCGGUGUAGCGGUGAAAUGCGUAGAUAUCGGAAGGAACACCAGUGGCGAAAGCGGCUUCCUGGUCCAGCACCGACGUUCAGGCACGAAAGCGUGGGGAGCAAACAGG
Molecule: ribosomal RNA, 253 nt
Filed under: uncultured bacterium
Lineage: Bacteria
Description: partial 16S ribosomal RNA
Rfam family: Bacterial small subunit ribosomal RNA
Source: RNAcentral